UGGGGAAUAUUGCACAAUGGAGGGAACUCUGAUGCAGCGACGCCGCGUGAACGAAGAAGGCUUUCGAGUCGUAAAGUUCUUUUAUAUGGGAAGAUAAUGACGGUACCAUAAGAAAAAGCCCCGGCUAACUACGUGCCAGCAGCCGCGGUAAUACGUAGGGGGCUAGCGUUGUCCGGAAUCACUGGGCGUAAAGGGUUCGCAGGCGGAAAUGCAAGUCAGGUGUAAAAGGCAGUAGCUUAACUACUGUAAGCAUUUGAAACUGCAUAUCUUGAGAAGAGUAGAGGUAAGUGGAAUUUUUAGUGUAGCGGUGAAAUGCGUAGAUAUUAAAAAGAAUACCGGGGGCGAAGGCGACGUACUGGGCUCAUUCUGACGCUGAGGAACGAAAGCGUGGGUAGCAAACAGG
RNAcentral lists this ribosomal RNA (403 nucleotides) under bacterium. RNAcentral describes it as "partial 16S ribosomal RNA". It matches the Rfam family "Bacterial small subunit ribosomal RNA", at positions 355 to 776 of the family's 1533-position model. The record is from RNAcentral.